UCUUUCUUUGCUGGCGACCGGCGCACGGGUGAGUAACACGUAUCCAACCUGCCCUUUACUCGGGGAUAGCCUUUCGAAAGAAAGAUUAAUACCCGAUAGUAUAAUGAUUCCGCAUGGUUUCAUUAUUAAAGGAUUCCGGUAAAGGAUGGGGAUGCGUUCCAUUGGGUUGUUGGUGAGGUAACGGCUCACCAAGCCUUCGAUGGAUAGGGGUUCUGAGAGGAAGGUCCCCCACAUUGGAACUGAGACACGGUCCAA
RNAcentral lists this ribosomal RNA (255 nucleotides) under uncultured bacterium. RNAcentral's name for it is "partial 16S ribosomal RNA". It matches the Rfam family "Bacterial small subunit ribosomal RNA", at positions 78 to 334 of the family's 1533-position model. The record is from RNAcentral.